AGUGAACGCUGGCGGUAGGCCUAACACAUGCAAGUCGAACGGCAGCACAGUAAGAGCUUGCUCUUACGGGUGGCGAGUGGCGGACGGGUGAGGAAUACAUCGGAAUCUACUUUUUCGUGGGGGAUAACGUAGGGAAACUUACGCUAAUACCGCAUACGACCUACGGGUGAAAGCAGGGGAUCUUCGGACCUUGCGCGAUUGAAUGAGCCGAUGUCGGAUUAGCUAGUUGGCGGGGUAAAGGCCCACCAAGGCGACGAUCCGUAGCUGGUCUGAGAGGAUGAUCAGCCACACUGGAACUGAGACACGGUCCAGACUCCUACGGGAGGCAGCAGUGGGGAAUAUUGGACAAUGGGCGCAAGCCUGAUCCAGCCGUACCGCGUGGGUGAAGAAGGCCUUCCGGUUGUAAAGCCCUUUUGUUGGGAAAGAAAAGCAGCAGGUUAAUACCCCGCUGUUCUGACGGUACCCAAAGAAUAAGCACCGGCUAACUUCGUG
RNAcentral lists this ribosomal RNA (492 nucleotides) under uncultured bacterium. RNAcentral's name for it is "partial 16S ribosomal RNA". It matches the Rfam family "Bacterial small subunit ribosomal RNA", at positions 29 to 507 of the family's 1533-position model. The record is from RNAcentral.